RNAcentral lists this ribosomal RNA (254 nucleotides) under uncultured bacterium. Its description in RNAcentral is "partial 16S ribosomal RNA". It matches the Rfam family "Bacterial small subunit ribosomal RNA", at positions 524 to 776 of the family's 1533-position model. The record is from RNAcentral.
UACGUGGGACCCAAGCGUUAUCCGGAAUUACUGGGCGUAAAGAGUUGCGUAGGUGGCAAUGUAAGUAGAUAGUGAAAUCGUGUGGCUCAACCAUGCAUCCAUUAUCUAAACUGCAUAGCUUGAGUAUGGGAGAGGUAGAUGGAAUUUCUAGUGUAGGAGUGAAAUCCGUAGAUAUUAGAAGGAACACCGAUGGCGUAAGCAGUCUACUGGCCCAUUACUGACACUAAGGCACGAAAGCGUGGGGAGCGAACGGG